Molecule: transfer RNA, 82 nt
Filed under: Brevinema andersonii
Lineage: Bacteria; Pseudomonadati; Spirochaetota; Spirochaetia; Brevinematales; Brevinemataceae
Rfam family: tRNA
About the family: Transfer RNA (tRNA) molecules are approximately 80 nucleotides in length. Their secondary structure includes four short double-helical elements and three loops (D, anti-codon, and T loops).
Source: Rfam by way of RNAcentral
GCGAGAGUGGUGAAAUUGGUAGACACGCUAGAUUUAGGAUCUAGUGCCUUAAGGCGUGUGGGUUCGAUUCCCACCUUUCGCA